UUGGGAAUCUUGCACAAUGGGCGAAAGCCUGAUGCAGCAACGCCGCGUGGAGGAUGAAGGUCUUAGGAUCGUAAACUCCUUUUGCUGAGGAGCACCACCGAGAGUACUCAGCGAAUAAGCACCGGCUAACUCCGUGCCAGCAGCCGCGGUAAUACGGAGGGUGCAAACGUUAUCCGGAAUCAUUGGGCGUAAAGCGUGUGUAGGUGGUUUGGUCAGUCUACGAUGAAAUCCCAGGGCUUAACCCUGGACCCGUUGUAGAUACUGCCAGACUUGAGGGUAGCAGGGGUACGUGGAACUUUGAGUGUAGGAGUGAAAUCCGUAGAUAUUCAAAGGAACACCAAUGGCGAAGGCAGCGUACUGGGCUACACCUGACACUGAGACACGAAAGCGUGGGGAGCAA
RNAcentral lists this ribosomal RNA (400 nucleotides) under uncultured bacterium. Its description in RNAcentral is "bacterial SSU rRNA". It matches the Rfam family "Bacterial small subunit ribosomal RNA", at positions 355 to 771 of the family's 1533-position model. The record is from RNAcentral.